This 584-nucleotide ribosomal RNA is filed under the name uncultured bacterium. RNAcentral describes it as "partial 16S ribosomal RNA". It matches the Rfam family "Bacterial small subunit ribosomal RNA", at positions 355 to 1375 of the family's 1533-position model. The record is from RNAcentral.
UGGGGAAUUUUGGACAAUGGGCGCAAGCCUGAUCCAGCCAUGCCGCGUGCGGGAAGAAGGCCUUCGGGUUGUAAACCGCUUUUGUCAGGGAAGAAAUCUUCUGAGUUAAUACCUCGGGAGGAUGACGGUACCUGAAGAAUAAGCACCGGCUAACUACGUGCCAGCAGCCGCGGUAAUACGUAGGGUGCAAGCGUUAAUCGGAAUUACUGGGCGUAAAGCGUGCGCAGGCGGUUUUGUAAGGCAGAGGUGAAAUCCCCGGGCUCAACCUGGGAACUGCCUUUGUGACUGCAAGGCUUGAGUGCGGCAGAGGGGGAUGGAAUUCCGCGUGUAGCAGUGAAACGCGUAGAUAUGCGGAGGAACACCGAUGGCGAAGGCAAUCCCCUGGGCCUGCACUGACGCUCAUGCACGAAAGCGUGGGGAGCAAACAGGAUUAGAUACCCUGGUAGUCACGCCCUAAACGAUGUCAACUGGUUGUUGGGAAGGUUCCUUCUCAGUAACGUAGCUAACGCGUGAAGUUGACCGCCUGGGGAGUACGGCCGCAAGGUUGAAACUCAAAUGAAUUGACGGGGUCAUAGCUGUUUCCU